Molecule: long non-coding RNA, 1023 nt
Filed under: Falco tinnunculus (common kestrel)
Lineage: Eukaryota; Metazoa; Chordata; Aves; Falconiformes; Falconidae
Description: lncRNA (ENSFTIG00000013371.1)
Source: RNAcentral
AAAAAUAGAGCUGUUUUUCUUUGCUGAUCCGUGGUUAAGUGGCAAAACCAGAAAUCAGUGUUAAUACAAAAAAUAAACACCCAUUUAACCUUUGCUGUAGUUGUUGUUCUGCUCAUCUGGUAUAAAUUAAAAAAAAAAUAAUAAUCUUUUGGGGGCUGUGAUUGUUUUAACCUGCCAGUAACCCCCUUGAGUUCAUCAGAGCAAAAGACAGCUAAAGCCUGUUUAUUGUCCAGCAGGCACCUACACGUGUUGUAAGCGAAGUUCCAUCUGGUCACAACAUCGUGGAUCAUCUGGGUAACAGCCAGGCUUCAUUUGCUUCAUGUCCUGGACAGCAUGGAGGCAGCCGAAUAGGAAUAUUUAAAUGACUGACCAACCGCAACCGAGUUUGCCCCUGAGGAUUCAUCUAAUAAUGGCUCCUCACUAUGGAGCAGUAGUGGCUCUGCGAAUUGUUUUCUUUUUCAAAUGACUCAAGCUAGCCUCUGUGGAAUGAUUUAGCCUUUUUAUUAGGUGCUGACAAUUUACUGGAGAUACGUUCUGGCUCUUACCUUGGGACAUGUGGAGGCGGAUAUUGGCUGUGCCUGAAAUCCUUUCUGAAACCUGUCUGUAAGUGAAAAACAGAAGAAACCCGGACUGCACGGCACAGCUGUUACUCUGGGCCUGACAGGGUGCUUGUAUACAGGGUGUAUUUCACACCUAUGCAGAAGUACAUACAGUGCUACCACAUCACAUUUUUCCAGGCAUUUGAAAUCAUUCGCACCUGCUUCACACAAGGGCAAAAGACAGAGAAAGUGGAUGCACCACUUAGUUGUGCUUAACCCAUGAGCUGAGCACCUCAGAGAGACCUUUGGCAUUGGUGGCAGCAGCGGAUGGGCAGGGACUCCUACCGAAGAGCUGGCAGUGCUGGCCGCAGCCCCUGGGGGAUGUCCUGCUGCCAGGUGUAUGUUCCCCUUAGAAAACUCUGUUCUGCAGAACUAGAGGACAUUGGUAUUUUGCAGUGUUCCAAGUGUUAAACAGCCUGCAGUG